RNAcentral lists this ribosomal RNA (603 nucleotides) under Entoloma stylophorum. RNAcentral describes it as "partial large subunit ribosomal RNA". It matches the Rfam family "Eukaryotic large subunit ribosomal RNA", at positions 64 to 650 of the family's 3401-position model. Lineage: Eukaryota; Fungi; Basidiomycota; Agaricomycetes; Agaricales; Entolomataceae. The record is from RNAcentral.
ACUAACAAGGAUUCCCCUAGUAACUGCGAGUGAAGCGGGAAAAGCUCAAAUUUAAAAUCUGGUGGUCUUUGGCCAUCCGAGUUGUAAUCUAGAGAAGCAUUAUCCGUGCUGGACCGUGUAUAAGUCUCCUGGAAUGGAGCGUCAUAGAGGGUGAGAAUCCCGUCUUUGACACGGAUUACCAGUGCAUUGUGAUACGCUCUCAAAGAGUCGAGUUGUUUGGGAAUGCAGCUCUAAAUGGGUGGUAAGUUCCAUCUAAAGCUAAAUAUUGGCGAGAGACCGAUAGCGAACAAGUACCGUGAGGGAAAGAUGAAAAGAACUUUGGAAAGAGAGUUAAACAGUACGUGAAAUUGUUGAAAGGGAAACGCUUAAAGUCAGUCGCAUCGGCUAGGGAUCAACCUUGCUUCUGCUUGGUGCACUUCCUGGUUGAUGGGUCAGCAUCAAUUUUGACCAGUGGAAAAAGUUCAAGGGAAUGUGGCAUCUCCGGAUGUGUUAUAGCCUUUGUUCGCAUACAUUGGUUGGGAUUGAGGAAUUCAGCACGCCGCAAGGCCGGGUUUUCAACCACGUUCGUGCUUAGGAUGCUGGCAUAAUGGCUUUAAUCGACCC